RNAcentral lists this ribosomal RNA (350 nucleotides) under uncultured eukaryote. RNAcentral's name for it is "bacterial SSU rRNA". It matches the Rfam family "Eukaryotic small subunit ribosomal RNA", at positions 592 to 1018 of the family's 1831-position model. The record is from RNAcentral.
CAAUAGCGUAUAUUAAAGUUGUUGCAGUUAAAAGCUCGUAGUUGGAUUUCAAGGACUAGACGGAUCACUCCGUCGAAGCCUAUCAGUCCGAGAGGACUGUUACUGUGAGAAAAUUAGAGUGUUUCAAGCAGGCAAUUGCAGGAAUACAUUAGCAUGGAAUAACGAAUGUGUCUAGAAUCUUGGUUAAUUCUAGAUUACGAUUAAUAGGGACAGUUGGGGGCAUUAGUAUUUAAUUGUCAGAGGUGAAAUUCUUGGAUUUGUUAAAGACUAACCUAUGCGAAAGCAUUUGCCAAGGAUGUUUUCAUUAAUCAAGAACGAAAGAUAGGGGAUCAAAGAUGAUUAGAUACCAU